GCUCGUGUAGCUUAGUCGGUAGAGUGUUGGGCUUUUAACCUAACUGUCCGGGGUUCGAGUCCCCGUUCGAGCC
This 73-nucleotide transfer RNA is filed under the name Ixodes scapularis (black-legged tick). RNAcentral describes it as "tRNA-Lys for anticodon UUU". It matches the Rfam family "tRNA". Rfam says of the family: Transfer RNA (tRNA) molecules are approximately 80 nucleotides in length. Their secondary structure includes four short double-helical elements and three loops (D, anti-codon, and T loops). Lineage: Eukaryota; Metazoa; Arthropoda; Arachnida; Ixodida; Ixodidae. The record is from RNAcentral.